RNAcentral lists this ribosomal RNA (406 nucleotides) under uncultured bacterium. RNAcentral describes it as "partial 16S ribosomal RNA". It matches the Rfam family "Bacterial small subunit ribosomal RNA", at positions 28 to 526 of the family's 1533-position model. The record is from RNAcentral.
GAUGAACGCUGGCGGCGUGCUUAACACAUGCAAGUUGAACGAAGUGGCGGAUGGGCGAGUAACACGUGCGGAACCUGCCUUUCACAGGGGAAUAACACUGGGAAACCAGUACUAAUACCGCAUAGUGAAAGAUGGCCUCGCGCCUGAUUAGCUAGUAGGUGAGGUAACUGCUCACCUAGGUGAUGAUCAGUAGCAGGACGGAAGGUGAAUCGGCCGCGUUGGGACUGAGAGACAGCAGAGACGCCUACGGGAGGCAGCACUGGGGAAUAUUGGGCAAUGGCGCAAGUCUGAACCAGGAACGCCGCGUGAAGGAAGACGGUCUUCGGAAGGUAAACUUCUUUGGACAGGGACACGGUACCUGUAGAAUAAGCAACGGCUAACUACGUGCCAGCAGCCGCGGUAAUUC